Molecule: long non-coding RNA, 447 nt
Filed under: Androctonus crassicauda
Lineage: Eukaryota; Metazoa; Arthropoda; Arachnida; Scorpiones; Buthidae
Source: RNAcentral
AGUUUGCUUGUUUGGUAUGGGACUGUCAAGUAGUUUUCCUGGUCUCUUAGCACAUUGAAGAAUAUCUCUUGCCUACUUGUGGUGAUCUUCUUUUUUGUUUUCUUCACUAUCUCUUUUAUAACGCCUAGUUUGCUUGUUUGGUAUGGGACUGUCAAGUAGUUUUCCUGGUCUCUUACGUCUUCUGCCGUUUCCUUUUUUGUUUUUGUUGGGUUCCCUUAAUCUUGUGUAUUCUGUUCAGGAAGCUCCUGCUGUAGUCGUAUUCAUGUCCUACUCGAUAUAUAUAGUUAAGUUCCUCUUGCAGAUUGUGAUUCUGAUCUGUAUAGGUGUAUGCCCUUUUCAAACUUAAGCCGAACAAGCACUAACUCCCCCUGGUGAAUAAAUUUGGAAUAAACUGUACAAUUGAUAAUUAAUAUUUAAUUUGAACUGUGGUGCCGCCGUCUAUUGGAU